UGGGGAAUUUUGGACAAUGGGCGAAAGCCUGAUCCAGCAAUGCCGCGUGCAGGAUGAAGGCCUUCGGGUUGUAAACUGCUUUUGUACGGAACGAAAAAGCUCCUUCUAAUACAGGGGGCCCAUGACGGUACCGUAAGAAUAAGCACCGGCUAACUACGUGCCAGCAGCCGCGGUAAUACGUAGGGUGCGAGCGUUAAUCGGAAUUACUGGGCGUAAAGCGUGCGCAGGCGGUUAUGUAAGACAGAUGUGAAGUCCCCGGGCUCAACCUGGGAACUGCAUUUGUGACUGCAUGGCUAGAGUACGGUAGAGGGGGAUGGAAUUCCGCGUGUAGCAGUGAAAUGCGUAGAUAUGCGGAGGAACACCGAUGGCGAAGGCAAUCCCCUGGACCUGUACUGACGCUCAUGCACGAAAGCGUGGGGAGCAAACAGGAUUAGAUACCCUGGUAGUCCACGCCCUAAACGAUGUCAACUGGUUGUUGGGAAUUAGUUUUCUCAGUAACGAAGCUAACGCGUGAAGUUGACCGCCUGGGGAGUACGGCCGCAAGGUUG
Molecule: ribosomal RNA, 548 nt
Filed under: uncultured bacterium
Lineage: Bacteria
Description: bacterial SSU rRNA
Rfam family: Bacterial small subunit ribosomal RNA
Source: RNAcentral